UACCGAGGUCUCAAGCGUUGUUCGGAUUCCUUGGGCGUAAAGGGUGCGUAGGCGGCGCGGUAAGUCGGGUGUGAAAUUUCGGAGCUUAACUCCGAAACUGCAUUCGAUACUGGCGUGCUUGAGGACUGGAGAGGAGACUGGAAUUUACGGUGUAGCAGUGAAAUGCGUAGAUAUCGUAAGGAAGACCAGUGGCGAAGGCGGGUCUCUGGACAGUUCCUGACACUGAGACACGAAGGCCAGGGGAGCAAACGGG
Molecule: ribosomal RNA, 253 nt
Filed under: uncultured bacterium
Lineage: Bacteria
Description: partial 16S ribosomal RNA
Rfam family: Bacterial small subunit ribosomal RNA
Source: RNAcentral